AACGACUGACUAUCUAUAUUGGGCAAUGUGUUUGGACAUAACUGAUGAUAGUAAACAGAACAGGAGUUCCCUCUCUGUAAAUCCCAAAUAAUCUGGGCUUCAAGAGAUGGUCUGUCGCAUGAGUCAUGCCCCAGAGCCAGCAUCAGCAUUUUGGCAAGUAGCCCACAUUAUGGAAAUUCAGCAAGCAAACAAGAAAAAGAUAGAAUGAUCAAAGAACACUUUGCUGCCGGGGGUCUUCUGACAGCUGGGGAAGUGAGGAGAGUACACUCAAAGACAGCAAGCUAAAGGAGGCUCUGGAUACUACAGUUGCCAUCAUGCUUUGUUGUAAUUAUAUGAUAGCAAAGUAUUUGUUAUAAAAUCAAAAGGCUUUAUGAGAAGAGGGAAUUAAAGAGUCCUGUUAAAUUCCUUUAAAAUGUAUCUGUUAAAAGCUUACA
Molecule: non-coding RNA, 434 nt
Organism: Microcebus murinus (gray mouse lemur)
Lineage: Eukaryota; Metazoa; Chordata; Mammalia; Primates; Cheirogaleidae
Source: RefSeq, a predicted model, not a curated record